Molecule: ribosomal RNA, 4062 nt
Filed under: Triticum aestivum (bread wheat)
Lineage: Eukaryota; Viridiplantae; Streptophyta; Magnoliopsida; Poales; Poaceae
Description: partial small subunit ribosomal RNA
Source: RNAcentral
AUGGAGCACCUGCGAGAGUCCAAGGAAGAAGUGGAGAUUGUAGAGGAGGAGGCCGAGAAAUCUCCUCAUGAGGCGCACAAGGGCGUUCUCUCUGAUCCAAAUCCUGCCAAAGGCAUUUCAAAUCAAGGUGGCAGAAAAGACGGAGGCAAAAUCAGGGAAACGGGGGCCCCAAUAAGUGCUUCAUUAGGUGCCAUGAGACCCCUUAUUGCAAAGCUGAACAAGAUGCUCCUAGAUCCCUCACAGGGAUGCUCCUCCAAGAGUGUCAAGGUCGGGAUGCACCUCUUCAAAGAAGAUGUUGAAAAGAUGAGCUCCUACCUUGAUGAACUGUCAGAGGUGGAGGACCCUCCCCUGACGGCCAAGUGCUGGAUGAAUGAGGCACGCGACCUCUCUUACGACAUGGAGGAUUAUAUCGACAGUUUAUUAUUUGUGCAGCCUGCAGAUCCCUCCCUAGUUGCCAAUAACAUCAAGACCACGAGAUCGCUCCUCAAAUUGCUCGGUCAUGUCAAGAAUCCCAAGAGGCUCCAGCAGCCCAAGAAGAUUAUAAAAACGGUAUCAGACUUCAGGAUAUAUGUUCAGGAGGCAAUUCAAAGACACGAUGUGUAUGUUCUGUCAGAUUCUGCUCCAUGCUCUUCCAGCAUAUUGAGGCGUAGAUCUGUGUCUGUUGGCCAUAUGUUUCCAACGCCGUAUGAAGAAACUGCUCACAUAGUGAUAAAUGGUCGGAUGAAUUUUUUUAUCAAUUCACUUGUUAACGAUGGGGACAAGAAUCUCAAGGCGGUAUCUGUUCUUGGACCUGCCUGUCUGGGUAAAACUACACUUGCUAAAGUAUUGCACGACAAACUUGGUGAGCAAUACAAUUGUCGAGCUUUCAUUCGGGUGUCAAAGAAACCUGAUAUGGAGAAAAUUUUCCUUGACAUGCUCUCGCAACUCCAGCGACUGGAUCCCCUAGAAUAUCGUAAUGAGGCUGAGCUCAUUCACAGGAUCAAGAAUUAUCUACAACCUAGAAGGUAUUUAAUUAUUAUUGAUGAUCUAUGGGAUACAUCAGUAUGGGAUAGUAUUAUCCAUGCUUUUCCAAAGGGUAGUCAUGGGAGCAGAAUAGUAACAACCACACAGAUUGAACAUGUUGCAUUAACAUGUUGCUCUUAUCAGUCAGAGAAUAUUUUUGAGAUGAAACCCAUGGAUGAUGAUCACUCAAGAAAGCUAUUCUUUAACAGACUCUUUGGCUCUGAAAGUUCUUGCCCUCCAAAGUUGAAAGAGGUUUCAAACGAAAUAGUUGAAAUAUGUGGUGGUCUGCCACUAGCAACAAUCAGCAUAGCUAGUCUUUUAGCAAGCCAGCCUUUCAUGUCACUUGAUCUAUUGACAUGCAUCUGUGAGUCAUUAAGCUCUUGUAUCUCGGCAAGUUCUACUUCAGAGAGAACUAGACAAGCACUGAAUCUGAGCUUCAACAAACUUCCCCAUUACUUGAAGACAUGUUUGCUUUAUCUCAGCAUGUAUCAAGAGGGCUACACAUUCUCCAAGGAUGAAUUAGUUAAGCAAUGGAUGGCCGAAGGGUUUAUCGAUACAACAGAAGGGCAGGAUAUGGAGGGAGUUGCAGAAAGCUAUCUCCAUCAACUUAUCAGUAGAAGAUUCAUACAGCCUAUAUGUAUCAACUAUAACAACGAGGUGUUGUCAUGUACAGUUCAGGACGUGGUACAUAAUCUUAUUGUACGCAAGUCUGCAGAAGAGGAUUUUAUUGUGGCAAUGGACUACAGCUGUCAAAAGAAUACAUCACUUUCUCAUAAGGCCCGCCGACUCUCUAUCGUCUUUGGUGAUGCAAGAUAUGCCAAGACACCAGCAAACAUCAGAAAAUCACAAGUUCGGUCAGUUAGAUUUUCUGGAUUGUUCGAGUCUAUCCCCUGUAUUACAGAGUUCAAGCUUGUUCGUGUUCUAAACCUCCAACUAUCUGGUUAUGGCCGCUGCAACAAUAACAAGGUCGACCUCACUGGGAUUUCAGAAUUGUUUCAACUGAGAUAUUUGAAGAUUGCAGGCGAUGUCUGCAUAAAACUGCCAAACCAUGGGCUACAGUGUUUGGAAACACUAGAUAUUACUGAUGCAAUACUCGUUGUUGUUUCACGGGUUACUGAUCUCCUACACCUGUUGCACCUCAGUCUUUCUGUUGACACAUGGUUCUCGAAUAUGGAUAUGUUUGACAAGCUGAAAUACCUGCAGGAUCUUCGUCUUACCACUUCUUCGGAAGUAACAUCUGGCGAUCUGGAGAGAAGCAUUGUACGUUUGUUUGCUUCAAUAUCAGGAUACCCCAACCUGAAAACUAUAGUAGUGUCUCAUGGCUCCUCGGUUAAAAAUAUUAGGGAUAAUGGCACUUCAAAAGUAACCAUUUCAAAUACCGUGGAUCGCAUGGCACCUCCUCAACUUCUCCAUAGAUUUGAAUUCUCACCGCAUAGCCGCAUCAUGUUUUCCCAAAUCCCAGAGUGGUUCAAAACAUUUGGCAGCCUAUGUAUUUUGAAGAUUGAACUUCAGAUACUCACGAUAUAUUGUGUUGGUAUUCUCAGAGGACUGCCUGCCCUCACUGCUAUGUCGCUGUACGUGGAGACAGCUCCAGUUGACAAGAUCAUAUUUGGCAUGGCGGGGUUUUCAGUUCUCAAGUAUUUUAGGUUGAGUUUCAUUAAUGGUAUAUCUUGGCUAAAAUUUGAGGAAGAUUCAUUGCCUAAUCUCUUGAAGCUCAAGCUAGUUUUCAACACGAUCCUCCAAAUCGACCAAUAUGAACAUGGUAUUAUCAACAUCGACCAUAUGCCAGCCGUUAGAGAGAUCUCUGUGAAAUUCGGUGGUGCAGCUGCUGAUCGAGAGUAUGCCUUGACGACCUUCGUUAGAAAUCAUUCGAGCAAUCCUACAAUCAACAUACCAUUGGUGGAUUAUAGUUUCGAUGUUGACGAAGGCACAAAACUGAAGCAACACCAGCAUGAGAUUAUGGAGGAAAAACCAGACGAAUCUUGCAAGAAACAACUAGAUGAGACGAUUCUGCAGGAUGAAUCAGAUAAAUCAUACAUACAACAACCAGAUAAGAUUGUGAAGGAAGAACCAGAUAAGAUUGUGGAGCAAGAACCUGAUGGAUCAUAUAAACAACAACCAGAUAAGACAGUGGAGGAAGAACCAAAUGACUGCCACGAAGAACCAGAUAUGCAGCAAAAAACAAACGAAUAUGACAAGACACUGGAGAUACCUGAUGAUAAAAGGUCACCGGAGUAUCCGCGUGCUUUCACACCGGACGAGAUCCUAUCCGCCACCCUUUAUUUCUCGAAGAACAACUUCCUCGGUGGUACCACCUACAAGGGCACUGUCGACGGCGAGCUCAUGGUAGCCGUCAGCAAAUUCACCUCCAACAGCUCACUGCUGCAGUGGGCUACUGAUGAACGAACUAGUCCUCAUCUGGUGAAAAAGCUGGGUUACUGCGACCAAGGCUAUAUAGUCCACGAGUACAUGCCCAGGGGCAGCCUCCAGUACCUCCUCUCGGAGACCAAUCUCAUUGCGUCGUUACCUUGGUUAACACGGCUCAAGAUUGCCAUCGGGGCAGGUAAAGGGCUGGCCUUUGUGCAUCAGUCAGGCGAAAGAUUGACACAGGAUUUCGAUAGUUCGAUCAUUCUACUCGACUCGGAUUGCACGGCAAAGCUGUGGGGUUUUGACAUCCAUAGUUCGCAGUUCUGCACUGCGGAAAAUCACGUGUACGACUUCGGUGUCGUGCUCCUAGAGCUGCUGACUGGGCGGCUGCACAUCGACAGGCAGCCAAUUGGCCCGGAAGAAAAUCUGGUGGAGUGGACGCGUCCCUACCUGCGCCGUGAGGACAAGUUGCACCGUAUCAUGGACCCGAAACUGGAGGGGCAAUACUCAUUUUCGGCAGCGUGGAUCACAGCCAAGAUCGCGAACCGGUGCCUGCAUGACAAGGCUCGGCGGCCAAGCAUGCGCGAGGUCGUGGACAUCCUUGAGCCGCUACUCACUGAUGACCGUAUCGGCGGGCGACAGUCAAAGAAAACUAAUAUGUUACCCUCCGCCCGUCCAAGAAGCAGCCGAUAG